CAGCAGCCGCGGGAAUACGUAGGGUGCGAGCGUUAAUCGGAAUUACUGGGCGUAAAGCGUGCGCAGGCGGUUGUGUAAGACAGGUGUGAAAUCCCCGGGCUUAACCUGGGAACUGCGCUUGUGACUGCACAGCUAGAGUAUGGCAGAGGGGGGUGGAAUUCCACGUGUAGCAGUGAAAUGCGUAGAUAUCGGAAGGAACACCUGUGGCGAAAGCGGCUCACUGGACCAUUUCUGACGCUGAUGCACGAAAGCUAGGGGAGCAAACAGGAUUAGAUACCCCAGUAGUCCCUGUCUCUUAUAC
RNAcentral lists this ribosomal RNA (301 nucleotides) under uncultured bacterium. RNAcentral describes it as "partial 16S ribosomal RNA". It matches the Rfam family "Bacterial small subunit ribosomal RNA", at positions 509 to 807 of the family's 1533-position model. The record is from RNAcentral.